RNAcentral lists this ribosomal RNA (2929 nucleotides) under Bacillus anthracis (anthrax bacterium). Its description in RNAcentral is "23S ribosomal RNA". It matches the Rfam family "Bacterial large subunit ribosomal RNA". Lineage: Bacteria; Bacillati; Bacillota; Bacilli; Caryophanales; Bacillaceae. The record is from RNAcentral.
UUUGGUUAAGUUAGAAAGGGCGCACGGUGGAUGCCUUGACACUAGGAGUCGAUGAAGGACGGGACUAACGCCGAUAUGCUUCGGGGAGCUGUAAGUAAGCUUUGAUCCGAAGAUUUCCGAAUGGGGAAACCCACCAUACGUAAUGGUAUGGUAUCCUUAUCUGAAUACAUAGGGUAAGGAAGACAGACCCAGGGAACUGAAACAUCUAAGUACCUGGAGGAAGAGAAAGCAAAUGCGAUUUCCUGAGUAGCGGCGAGCGAAACGGAACAUAGCCCAAACCAAGAGGCUUGCCUCUUGGGGUUGUAGGACAUUCUAUACGGAGUUACAAAGGAACGAGGUAGACGAAGCGACCUGGAAAGGUCCGUCGUAGAGGGUAACAACCCCGUAGUCGAAACUUCGUUCUCUCUUGAAUGUAUCCUGAGUACGGCGGAACACGUGAAAUUCCGUCGGAAUCUGGGAGGACCAUCUCCCAAGGCUAAAUACUCCCUAGUGAUCGAUAGUGAACCAGUACCGUGAGGGAAAGGUGAAAAGCACCCCGGAAGGGGAGUGAAAGAGAUCCUGAAACCGUGUGCCUACAAAUAGUCAGAGCCCGUUAACGGGUGAUGGCGUGCCUUUUGUAGAAUGAACUGGCGAGUUACGAUCCCGUGCGAGGUUAAGCUGAAGAGGCGGAGCCGCAGCGAAAGCGAGUCUGAAUAGGGCGUUUAGUACGUGGUCGUAGACCCGAAACCAGGUGAUCUACCCAUGUCCAGGGUGAAGUUCAGGUAACACUGAAUGGAGGCCCGAACCCACGCACGUUGAAAAGUGCGGGGAUGAGGUGUGGGUAGCGGAGAAAUUCCAAUCGAACCUGGAGAUAGCUGGUUCUCCCCGAAAUAGCUUUAGGGCUAGCCUUAAGUGUAAGAGUCUUGGAGGUAGAGCACUGAUUGGACUAGGGGUCCUCAUCGGAUUACCGAAUUCAGUCAAACUCCGAAUGCCAAUGACUUAUCCUUAGGAGUCAGACUGCGAGUGAUAAGAUCCGUAGUCAAAAGGGAAACAGCCCAGACCGCCAGCUAAGGUCCCAAAGUGUGUAUUAAGUGGAAAAGGAUGUGGAGUUGCUUAGACAACUAGGAUGUUGGCUUAGAAGCAGCCACCAUUUAAAGAGUGCGUAAUAGCUCACUAGUCGAGUGACUCUGCGCCGAAAAUGUACCGGGGCUAAAUACACCACCGAAGCUGCGGAUUGAUACCAAUGGUAUCAGUGGUAGGGGAGCGUUCUAAGGACAGUGAAGUCAGACCGGAAGGACUGGUGGAGUGCUUAGAAGUGAGAAUGCCGGUAUGAGUAGCGAAAGACGGGUGAGAAUCCCGUCCACCGAAUGCCUAAGGUUUCCUGAGGAAGGCUCGUCCGCUCAGGGUUAGUCAGGACCUAAGCCGAGGCCGACAGGCGUAGGCGAUGGACAACAGGUUGAUAUUCCUGUACCACCUCUUUAUCGUUUGAGCAAUGGAGGGACGCAGAAGGAUAGAAGAAGCGUGCGAUUGGUUGUGCACGUCCAAGCAGUUAGGCUGAUAAGUAGGCAAAUCCGCUUAUCGUGAAGGCUGAGCUGUGAUGGGGAAGCUCCUUAUGGAGCGAAGUCUUUGAUUCCCCGCUGCCAAGAAAAGCUUCUAGCGAGAUAAAAGGUGCCUGUACCGCAAACCGACACAGGUAGGCGAGGAGAGAAUCCUAAGGUGUGCGAGAGAACUCUGGUUAAGGAACUCGGCAAAAUGACCCCGUAACUUCGGGAGAAGGGGUGCUUUCUUAACGGAAAGCCGCAGUGAAUAGGCCCAAGCGACUGUUUAGCAAAAACACAGCUCUCUGCGAAGCCGUAAGGCGAAGUAUAGGGGGUGACACCUGCCCGGUGCUGGAAGGUUAAGGAGAGGGGUUAGCGUAAGCGAAGCUCUGAACUGAAGCCCCAGUAAACGGCGGCCGUAACUAUAACGGUCCUAAGGUAGCGAAAUUCCUUGUCGGGUAAGUUCCGACCCGCACGAAAGGUGUAACGAUUUGGGCACUGUCUCAACCAGAGACUCGGUGAAAUUAUAGUACCUGUGAAGAUGCAGGUUACCCGCGACAGGACGGAAAGACCCCGUGGAGCUUUACUGUAGCCUGAUAUUGAAUUUUGGUACAGUUUGUACAGGAUAGGCGGGAGCCUUUGAAACCGGAGCGCUAGCUUCGGUGGAGGCGCUGGUGGGAUACCGCCCUGACUGUAUUGAAAUUCUAACCUACGGGUCUUAUCGACCCGGGAGACAGUGUCAGGUGGGCAGUUUGACUGGGGCGGUCGCCUCCUAAAGUGUAACGGAGGCGCCCAAAGGUUCCCUCAGAAUGGUUGGAAAUCAUUCGUAGAGUGCAAAGGCAUAAGGGAGCUUGACUGCGAGACCUACAAGUCGAGCAGGGACGAAAGUCGGGCUUAGUGAUCCGGUGGUUCCGCAUGGAAGGGCCAUCGCUCAACGGAUAAAAGCUACCCCGGGGAUAACAGGCUUAUCUCCCCCAAGAGUCCACAUCGACGGGGAGGUUUGGCACCUCGAUGUCGGCUCAUCGCAUCCUGGGGCUGUAGUCGGUCCCAAGGGUUGGGCUGUUCGCCCAUUAAAGCGGUACGCGAGCUGGGUUCAGAACGUCGUGAGACAGUUCGGUCCCUAUCCGUCGUGGGCGUAGGAAAUUUGAGAGGAGCUGUCCUUAGUACGAGAGGACCGGGAUGGACGCACCGCUGGUGUACCAGUUGUUCUGCCAAGGGCAUAGCUGGGUAGCUAUGUGCGGAAGGGAUAAGUGCUGAAAGCAUCUAAGCAUGAAGCCCCCCUCAAGAUGAGAUUUCCCAUAGCGUAAGCUAGUAAGAUCCCUGAAAGAUGAUCAGGUUGAUAGGUUCGAGGUGGAAGCAUGGUGACAUGUGGAGCUGACGAAUACUAAUAGAUCGAGGACUUAACCAUAUAA